Molecule: ribosomal RNA, 210 nt
Filed under: uncultured bacterium
Lineage: Bacteria
Description: partial 16S ribosomal RNA
Rfam family: Bacterial small subunit ribosomal RNA
Source: RNAcentral
UACGAAGGGGGCUAGCGUUGCUCGGAAUCACUGGGCGUAAAGCGCACGUAGGCGGCUUUCUAAGUCAGGGGUGAAAUCCUGGAGCUCAACUCCAGAACUGCCUUCGAUACUGGCGAUCUUGAGUCCGGAAGAGGUGAGUGGAACUCCUAGUGUAGAGGUGGAAUUCGUAGAUAUUAGGAAGAACACCAGUGGCGAAGGCGGCUACACUGG